This 305-nucleotide ribosomal RNA is filed under the name uncultured bacterium. RNAcentral describes it as "bacterial SSU rRNA". It matches the Rfam family "Bacterial small subunit ribosomal RNA", at positions 335 to 638 of the family's 1533-position model. The record is from RNAcentral.
UCCCUACGGGAGGCAGCAGUGAGGAAUAUUGGUCAAUGGGCGGGAGCCUGAACCAGCCAAGUCGCGUGAGGGAAGACGGUCCUAUGGAUUGUAAACCUCUUUAGGCGGGGAGCAAUGCCGGGCACGCGUGUCCGGAGGGAGAGUACCCGCAGAAUAAGCAUCGGCUACCUCCGUGCCAGCAGCCGCGGUAAUACGGAGGAUACGAGCGUUAUCCGGAUUUUUUGGGAUUAAAGGGUGCGUAGGCGGAUUUUUAAGUCAGCGGUAAAAUGUCCGGGCUCAACCCGGGCCGGCCGCUGGAGCUGGGG